Long non-coding RNA from Myotis davidii, 172 nucleotides. RefSeq lists it as uncharacterized. NCBI's taxonomy places the organism in Eukaryota, Metazoa, Chordata, Mammalia, Chiroptera, Vespertilionidae. The record is from RefSeq and is a predicted model, not a curated record. The transcript has 3 exons.
CCUCCUGCACGUGCCUGGCCGGGGAAGAGCCUGCAACCAAGGUGCUGUUGUCCCCCCCCUCCGGGGCUCGCAGGCCCCCAUGGAGAUCCCGUCCCCCCAGCCCGUGAAGCAGGAGGGCCAGGCCAUCGAGGGCCUGGAGCGCCUCCUUGACAUGUGUCCUUUGGUGGCGUUU